GUGGGGAAUCUUGCGCAAUGGGCGAAAGCCUGACGCAGCCAUGCCGCGUGGAUGAUGAAGGUCUUAGGAUUGUAAAAUCCUUUCACCGGUGAAGAUAAUGACUGUAGCCGGAGAAGAAGCCCCGGCUAACUUCGUGCCAGCAGCCGCGGUAAUACGAAGGGGGCUAGAGUUGCUCGGAGUUACUGGGAGUAAAGGGCGCGUAGGCGGACAUUUAAGUCAGGGGUGAAAUCCCGGGGCUCAACCUCGGAACUGCCUUUGAUACUGGGUGUCUUGAGUAUGAGAGAGGUGUGUGGAACUCCGAGUGUAGAGGUGAAAUUCGUAGAUAUUCGGAAGAACACCAGUGGCGAAGGCGACACACUGGCUCAUUACUGACGCUGAGGCGCGAAAGCGUGGGGAGCAAACAGGAUUAGAAACCCCUGUAGUCC
RNAcentral lists this ribosomal RNA (425 nucleotides) under uncultured bacterium. RNAcentral's name for it is "partial 16S ribosomal RNA". It matches the Rfam family "Bacterial small subunit ribosomal RNA", at positions 354 to 796 of the family's 1533-position model. The record is from RNAcentral.